This 488-nucleotide long non-coding RNA is filed under the name Ananas comosus (pineapple). Its description in RNAcentral is "long non-coding RNA (ACOM_LNC002188)". Lineage: Eukaryota; Viridiplantae; Streptophyta; Magnoliopsida; Poales; Bromeliaceae. The record is from RNAcentral.
UUUGAGGAAAUGACCAAUAAAUUUAAUAAAAUUUUUAAUUUAAAAUUUUUAAUUUAAUUGACUAUGAUUAUUUAGGUUUUGUUUGGGAGUGAGAUGUGGUGCAAAAAGUUGCGUCUCAUGCAUCACUAGUGUAGUAACACGCGCGUUGCGGCGGGCAAAACACAAAGCAAACUGAAGAUGUUGAGUGAAAACUGUGAAAAGAUAUGUUUAGCUAGUAAUAUACUCAUUCACCAUUAUUUCAUAAUAUAAAAUAGACUCCUAGAAAGAUUAAGAAUUGUAGAAAUUAUCUCGUUUAAACUAUUAGGUAGAAAAUCUAAAAUACAGCAGAAAAAUCACCAGCAAAUGUAAACUCAAAAUUUAUAAUAAAAUACUUAUGAAAAAGGAAGAAUAAACAUAACUGAUAGCAACAGCUAGCAGAAUAACAAAAAUAAUAGAAGAAUCUAAAAUUUUGACAGUUUCUUGAAGAGACAUAUAUGCAAACUUAUAUA